AACUAGCUAGCGUUAGGGAUUGAAACGGCAUCCUUUUUAUAGCGCUUUUUAACAAGCGUUAUUGCGAGGAACGAAGCAAUCUGUUUAUUAAUUAUGAGAUUGCCACAGGUUACAAAAAAAGAAACUUAGCAAUGACAGCUAUAAAAAGAUAUAGUGGAAAGCCCGACCUUUA
Molecule: small RNA, 172 nt
Filed under: Polaribacter atrinae
Lineage: Bacteria; Pseudomonadati; Bacteroidota; Flavobacteriia; Flavobacteriales; Flavobacteriaceae
Description: Flavo-1 RNA
Rfam family: Flavo-1 RNA
Source: Rfam by way of RNAcentral